Molecule: ribosomal RNA, 254 nt
Filed under: uncultured bacterium
Lineage: Bacteria
Description: partial 16S ribosomal RNA
Rfam family: Bacterial small subunit ribosomal RNA
Source: RNAcentral
UACAGAGGGGGCAAGCGUUAUUCGGAAUUAUUGGGCGUAAAGGGCGCGUAGGCGGCUUGGCAAGUGGAUGGUGAAAUCCCUCGGCUUAACCGAGGAACUGCCAUCCAGACUGCUUUGCUUGAGGCCGGGAGAGGUGAGUGGAAUUCCCAGUGUAGCGGUGAAAAUGCGUAGAUAUUGGGAGGAACACCAGUGGCGAAGGCGGCUCACUGGACCGGUUCUGACGCUGAUGCGCGAAAGCGUGGGGAGCAAACGGG